AUACGGAGGAUGCAAGCGUUAUCCGGAUUUAUUGGGUUUAAAGGGUGCGUAGGCUGACGUGUAAGUCAGAGGUGAAAUGUCCGGGCUCAACCUGGGAACUGCCUUUGAUACUGCAUGUCUGGAGUUCGGAUGCCGUGGGAGGAAUGGGCAGUGUAGCGGUGAAAUGCAUAGAUAUUGCCCAGAACACCGAUUGCGAAGGCAUCUCACGAAUCCGACACUGACGCUGAGGCACGAAAGCGUGGGGAUCAAACAGGAUUAGAUACCCUGGUAGUCCACGCAGUAAACGAUGAUAACUAACCGUCGGCGAUAGACAGUCGGUGGCCAAGCGAAAGCGAUAAGUUAUCCACCUGGGGAGUACGUUCACAAGAAUGAAACUCAAAUGAAUUGGCGGGG
Molecule: ribosomal RNA, 393 nt
Filed under: uncultured bacterium
Lineage: Bacteria
Description: partial 16S ribosomal RNA
Rfam family: Bacterial small subunit ribosomal RNA
Source: RNAcentral